This 587-nucleotide ribosomal RNA is filed under the name uncultured Burkholderia sp. Its description in RNAcentral is "bacterial SSU rRNA". It matches the Rfam family "Bacterial small subunit ribosomal RNA", at positions 418 to 1003 of the family's 1533-position model. The record is from RNAcentral. Lineage: Bacteria; Pseudomonadati; Pseudomonadota; Betaproteobacteria; Burkholderiales; Burkholderiaceae.
UCGGGUUGAAAACCAUUUUUUCCGGAAGAAAACCUCCCUUCUUAAUACGUGGGGGGAGACGGUACCGGAAGAAUAAGCACCGGCAACUACGUGCCAGCAGCCGCGGUAAUACGUAGGGUGCAAGCGUUAAUCGGAAUUACUGGGCGUAAAGCGUGCGCAGGCGGUUCGCUAAGACCGAUGUGAAAUCCCGGGCUUAACCUGGGAACUGCAUUGGUGACUGGCGGGCUAGAGUAUGGCAGAGGGGGGUAGAAUUCCACGUGUAGCAGUGAAAUGCGUAGAGAUGUGGAGGAAUACCGAUGGCGAAGGCAGCCCCCUGGGCCAAUACUGACGCUCAUGCACGAAAGCGUGGGGAGCAAACAGGAUUAGAUACCCUGGUAGUCCACGCCCUAAACGAUGUCAACUAGUUGUCGGGUCUUCAUUGACUUGGUAACGAAGCUAACGCGUGAAGUUGACCGCCUGGGGAGUACGGUCGCAAGAUUAAAACUCAAAGGAAUUGACGGGGACCCGCACAAGCGGUGGAUGAUGUGGAUUAAUUCGAUGCAACGCGAAAAACCUUACCUACCCUUGACAUGUACGGAACCCUGCCG